Molecule: non-coding RNA, 139 nt
Organism: Suncus etruscus (white-toothed pygmy shrew)
Lineage: Eukaryota; Metazoa; Chordata; Mammalia; Eulipotyphla; Soricidae
Product: small Cajal body-specific RNA 11
Exons: 1
Source: RefSeq, a predicted model, not a curated record
UUGUCCCAGCCUGUGUUUUUCCUGCUGCUAUGCUCCGCUCAAGCUGCAGGAAGUCAGUGGGACAUACAGUAAUCUUCCUCUCAGUUUAGGAGGGCCUUCCUGAGCAUUGGGCUGGCUCUUAAAGGCACGAGAGGACAAA